RNAcentral lists this ribosomal RNA (447 nucleotides) under uncultured bacterium. RNAcentral's name for it is "bacterial SSU rRNA". It matches the Rfam family "Bacterial small subunit ribosomal RNA", at positions 355 to 825 of the family's 1533-position model. The record is from RNAcentral.
UGGGGAAUAUUGGACAAUGGGCGAAAGCCUGAUCCAGCCAUGCCGCGUGAGUGACGAAGGCCUUAGGGUUGUAAAACUCUUUCGUCGGGGACGAUAAUGACGGUACCCGAAGAAGAAGCUCCGGCUAACUUCGUGCCAGCAGCCGCGGUAAUACGAAGGGAGCUAGCGUUGUUCGGAAUCACUGGGCGUAAAGCGCACGUAGGCGGAUAGUUAAGUCAGGGGUGAAAUCCUGGGGCUCAACCCCAGAACUGCCUUUGAAACUAGGUCGCUAGAAUCACGGAGAGGUGAGUGGAAUUCCGAGUGUAGAGGUGAAAUUCGUAGAUAUUCGGAAGAACACCAGUGGCGAAGGCGGCUCACUGGACCUGUACUGACGCUCAUGCACGAAAGCGUGGGGAGCAAACAGGAUUAGAUACCCCCGUAGUCCCUGAGCGGGCUGGCAAGGCGCAU